This 465-nucleotide ribosomal RNA is filed under the name Vreelandella stevensii. RNAcentral's name for it is "partial 16S ribosomal RNA". It matches the Rfam family "Bacterial small subunit ribosomal RNA", at positions 338 to 795 of the family's 1533-position model. The record is from RNAcentral. Lineage: Bacteria; Pseudomonadati; Pseudomonadota; Gammaproteobacteria; Oceanospirillales; Halomonadaceae.
CCUACGGGGGGCUGCAGUGGGGAAUAUUGGACAAUGGGGGCAACCCUGAUCCAGCCAUGCCGCGUGUGUGAAGAAGGCCCUCGGGUUGUAAAGCACUUUCAGUGAGGAAGAACGCCUGGUGGUUAAUACCCAUCAGGAAAGACAUCACUCACAGAAGAAGCACCGGCUAACUCCGUGCCAGCAGCCGCGGUAAUACGGAGGGUGCGAGCGUUAAUCGGAAUUACUGGGCGUAAAGCGCGCGUAGGUGGCUUGAUAAGCCGGUUGUGAAAGCCCCGGGCUCAACCUGGGAACGGCAUCCGGAACUGUCAAGCUAGAGUGCAGGAGAGGAAGGUAGAAUUCCCGGUGUAGCGGUGAAAUGCGUAGAGAUCGGGAGGAAUACCAGUGGCGAAGGCGGCCUUCUGGACUGACACUGACACUGAGGUGCGAAAGCGUGGGUAUCAAACAGGAUUAGAUACCCUUGUAGUC